CAGUCGCCGCGGGAAUACGAAGGGUGCAAGCGUUAAUCGGAAUUACUGGGCGUAAAGCGUGCGUAGGCGGUGAGUUAAGUCUGCUGUGAAAUCCCCGGGCUCAACCUGGGAAUGGCAGUGGAUACUGGCUCGCUAGAGUGUGUCAGAGGAUGGUGGAAUUCCCGGUGUAGCGGUGAAAUGCGUAGAGAUCGGGAGGAACAUCAGUGGCGAAGGCAGCCCCCUGGGCCAAUACCGACGCUCAUGCACGAAAGCGUGGGGAGCAAACAGGAUUAGAGACCCCGGUAGUCCCUGUCUCUUAUAC
RNAcentral lists this ribosomal RNA (301 nucleotides) under uncultured bacterium. Its description in RNAcentral is "partial 16S ribosomal RNA". It matches the Rfam family "Bacterial small subunit ribosomal RNA", at positions 509 to 807 of the family's 1533-position model. The record is from RNAcentral.